CUAGUAGCUGGUUCCCUCCGAAGUUUCCCUCAGGAUAGCUGGUGCAUUUUAAAAUUAUGUAAAAUAAUCUUAUCUGGUAAAGCGAAUGAUUAGAGGCCUUAGGGUCGAAACGAUCUUAACCUAUUCUCAAACUUUAAAUGGGUAAGAACCUCACCUUUCUUGAUAUGAAGGUUGAGGUUAUGAUAUAAUGUGCCCAGUGGGCCACUUUUGGUAAGCAGAACUGGCGCUGUGGGAUGAACCAAACGUAAUGUUACGGUGCCUAAAUUAACAACUCAUGCAGAUACCAUGAAAGGCGUUGGUUGCUUAAAACAGCAGGACGGUGGACAUGGAAGUCGUAAUCCGCUAAGGAGUGUGUAACAACUCACCUGCCGAAGCAACUAGCCCUUAAAAUGGAUGGCGCUUAAGUUGUAUACCUAUACAUUACCGCUAAAGUACAUGAUUUAUAUGAAUUACAAUAAUUUCGGUUGUUGUUUUUUAUUGUAUAUAAAUUUUGAAACUUUAGUGAGUAGGAGGGUACAAUGGUGUGCUUAGAAGUGUUUGGCGUAAGCCUGCAUGGAGCCGCCAUUGGUACAGAUCUUGGUGGUAGUAGCAAAUAAUCGAAUGAGACCUUGGAGGACUGAAGUGGAGAAGGGUUUCGUGUGAACAGUGGUUGAUCACGAGUUAGUCGGUCCUAAGUUCAAGGCGAAAGCCGAAAAUUUUCAAGUUUUAAUGAA
This 713-nucleotide ribosomal RNA is filed under the name Rhagoletis magniterebra. RNAcentral describes it as "partial 28S ribosomal RNA". It matches the Rfam family "Eukaryotic large subunit ribosomal RNA", at positions 944 to 1589 of the family's 3401-position model. RNAcentral also lists the same sequence under 1 other name. Lineage: Eukaryota; Metazoa; Arthropoda; Insecta; Diptera; Tephritidae. The record is from RNAcentral.